GGCUCCCGGGGACUGGGGGCAUUUUGUGUUGGCUGGAGCCGGAGCAACAAGAUGGCGGCGUCGGCGGAGUGACAGGGGUCCCUCUGGCCGGAGCCAGCGGCAGUGGUGGCAGCAGUAUCGCCACCCUAACUCACCGCGCCUGUCUCCCAGCCGGCGACAUCGUCGCGAGAGCGAGGCCGCGGCGGCCUCCGAGGAACAAGUGGGCAGUGUGGUUACGGCGAGGACGGCCUCACAGACUGCGGCCUGGCGGGAAGAGACGCGACUGAGCGGCGGUGCUCUGGGCCCUGGAUCGCCGGGAGAGGCCUCCGGUUUCUGUUUCCUGCGCCCCCUUCUGAAGCCUUACCCAGUGGACGAGCCUCCGAGGCGUCCGUCCUCCCCGCAGAGGUGUCGGGGCUUAGCCCCAGCCUCCAUCUUCGUCUCUCAGGAUGGCGAGCAGCAGCGGCUCCAAGGCCGAAUUCAUUGUCGGAGGAAAAUAUAAACUGGUACGGAAGAUCGGGUCUGGCUCCUUUGGGGACAUUUAUCUGGCGAUCAACAUCACCAACGGCGAGGAAGUGGCAGUGAAGCUAGAAUCUCAGAAGGCCAGGCAUCCCCAGUUGCUGUACGAGAGCAAACUCUAUAAGAUUCUUCAAGGUGGGGUUGGCAUCCCCCACAUACGGUGGUAUGGGCAAGAAAAAGACUACAAUGUGCUAGUCAUGGAUCUUCUGGGACCCAGCCUUGAAGACCUCUUCAAUUUCUGUUCAAGAAGGUUCACAAUGAAAACUGUACUUAUGUUAGCUGACCAGAUGAUCAGUAGAAUUGAAUACGUGCAUACAAAGAAUUUUAUACACAGAGACAUUAAACCAGAUAACUUCCUAAUGGGUAUUGGGCGUCACUGUAAUAAGUGUUUAGAAUCUCCAGUGGGGAAGAGGAAAAGAAGCAUGACUGUUAGUACUUCUCAGGACCCAUCUUUCUCAGGAUUAAACCAGUUAUUCCUUAUUGACUUUGGUUUGGCCAAAAAGUACAGAGACAACAGGACAAGGCAACAUAUACCAUACAGAGAAGAUAAAAACCUCACUGGCACUGCCCGAUAUGCUAGCAUCAAUGCACAUCUUGGUAUUGAGCAGAGUCGCCGAGAUGAUAUGGAAUCAUUAGGAUAUGUUUUGAUGUAUUUUAAUAGAACCAGCCUGCCAUGGCAAGGACUAAAGGCUGCAACAAAGAAGCAAAAAUACGAAAAGAUUAGUGAAAAAAAGAUGUCCACUCCUGUUGAAGUUUUGUGUAAGGGGUUUCCUGCAGAAUUUGCUAUGUACUUAAACUAUUGUCGUGGGCUGCGCUUUGAGGAAGCCCCGGAUUACAUGUAUCUGAGGCAGCUAUUUCGCAUUCUUUUCAGGACCCUGAACCACCAGUAUGACUACACAUUUGAUUGGACAAUGUUAAAGCAGAAAGCAGCACAGCAGGCAGCCUCUUCCAGUGGGCAGGGUCAGCAGGCCCAAACCCCCACAGGCAAGCAAACUGACAAAACCAAGAGUAACAUGAAAGCUCUUUUCACUGUGGACAGUAAAGCUGGAGAGAAAAGAAACUGAGUAACCCACCAGGAAGUGAACACGAGUACAGGAGUUGGUUUGUGCUGAUCUGAAGCCCACAUCUCUAAAUCUUGCUGGACCUACCAAACUUCUCACCUUGUCAGAUUGUAUGGAUGAUACAACUGUCAGAAGAUCUCCAGGAGUAUAAUGAAGCUGUAACUCUGCAUUGUAUAAUGCAGACCACCUACCACUUGGGGAAGGAGUCAGUUGUGACAGGCACAAAGGAAUUCAUCCCUCCUUUUAACUGAUGUUAACACCAAAGAUGGAUUUCUUGAACUUUUAGAAGCCAAGAAAUACUACCCUGUCUGCAAGAUAAAGACCAAGGACUAAUGUACACUGGGAGAAAGAAUACUUAACUACUUGAAGAUUGAAUGUCAAAUGCCUGCUUGAAUAUUCCUGUUGAGAUUUUUUCCUAAACAAACUUUAGUGACAUCUUAGAACAGUUCAUUGGAGAAACGUUGAUCCUUGGGUGGAGUGUCCUACCAGUGGCCCAUUUGAAGAGUAAAAUGUGGAUUUGACUGCUCUUUUCUACAGGAAUAUUGUUAGGCUAGCCAUUAAUGAGUCUAUAAACACUUGUAAUCACAAACUGGGCCAGCAGUUCCCCAAAUACCAUAUUAAAGGAUGAACAGAUAAAAUUCGUACCUAGAGUUGCCCUAUUAAAGAGUUUUUUAAUGUUUGACUGCCAA
RNA transcript from Tupaia belangeri chinensis (Chinese tree shrew), 2245 nucleotides. It is a transcript of the gene named casein kinase 1 alpha 1, with no coding region annotated. The transcript is spliced from 12 exons. Lineage: Eukaryota; Metazoa; Chordata; Mammalia; Scandentia; Tupaiidae. The record is from RefSeq and is a predicted model, not a curated record.